GAUAGAUGAUAUUACAGAUAAUGAAUAAAUCAAAAGCUUAUAGUACCUUAUAGAGGGUAAAAAUGACAUCUUUAUUAUUGAUGGGGUAAACAAAAUCAUAAAAAAGCAGUGAAAUGAAAGGGGUAUGUAUGUGUGUAUAACAAAAGAGAGUGAAAAUGGAGAGAAGAAAGUACCUGAUUGUUGGUGGUGGGAAUGGAAGAAUCGAUCAUUGUAAUUGGAUAUGAAAAAGCAUUGUUGUAUUAAGAGAAGAGAUAGAGAUCGAAAUGGAAUGUGACAAAACUUGAAUGUAAUGAUGAUGAUGAUGCUUUGAAUGAAUAAUAAUAGUAGUAAAACAAACAGUGAUGAUGAUGACGAUGGAGAGGGUUUGGUAAUGUUGUUGAGAGUUUAAGCAGAGGGAGAGAGAGAGAGAGAUUGGUAGUAAGUAAUUAUGAGUUGGGUUAGCACAGAGAGAAAAAGACGGUGAGUGAGAUUGUGGAGAUGCCACGCGCCAUGAUUGUAAAGUUGCCAUGCGCCAUUAUCAUCAUCAACGAGUAGGGUAGGGUAGGAGAGUACUAUAAUGCUAGUGCUAUGCCUAGUAGUUAGUCCUACUAAUUAUUGCAGUAACCCAAAUCUCAG
Molecule: long non-coding RNA, 615 nt
Filed under: Trifolium pratense (red clover)
Lineage: Eukaryota; Viridiplantae; Streptophyta; Magnoliopsida; Fabales; Fabaceae
Description: long non-coding RNA (TPRA_LNC006318)
Source: RNAcentral